Molecule: ribosomal RNA, 725 nt
Filed under: Neobacillus drentensis
Lineage: Bacteria; Bacillati; Bacillota; Bacilli; Caryophanales; Bacillaceae
Description: bacterial SSU rRNA
Rfam family: Bacterial small subunit ribosomal RNA
Source: RNAcentral
AUACAUGCAAGUCGAGCGAAUCAAUAGGAGCUUGCUCCUGUUGGUUAGCGGCGGACGGGUGAGUAACACGUGGGCAACCUGCCUGUAAGACUGGGAUAACACCGGGAAACCGGUGCUAAUACCGGAUAAUCCUUUUCCUCACAUGAGGGAAAGCUGAAAGUCGGUUUCGGCUGACACUUACAGAUGGGCCCGCGGCGCAUUAGCUAGUUGGUGAGGUAACGGCUCACCAAGGCGACGAUGCGUAGCCGACCUGAGAGGGUGAUCGGCCACACUGGGACUGAGACACGGCCCAGACUCCUACGGGAGGCAGCAGUAGGGAAUCUUCCACAAUGGACGAAAGUCUGAUGGAGCAACGCCGCGUGAGCGAUGAAGGCCUUCGGGUCGUAAAGCUCUGUUGUUAGGGAAGAACAAGUACCGGAGUAACUGCCGGUACCUUGACGGUACCUAACCAGAAAGCCACGGCUAACUACGUGCCAGCAGCCGCGGUAAUACGUAGGUGGCAAGCGUUGUCCGGAAUUAUUGGGCGUAAAGCGCGCGCAGGCGGUCCUUUAAGUCUGAUGUGAAAGCCCACGGCUCAACCGUGGAGGGUCAUUGGAAACUGGGGGACUUGAGUGCAGAAGAGGAAAGCGGAAUUCCACGUGUAGCGGUGAAAUGCGUAGAGAUGUGGAGGAACACCAGUGGCGAAGGCGGCUUUCUGGUCUGUAACUGACGCUGAGGCGCGAAAG